Molecule: ribosomal RNA, 498 nt
Filed under: uncultured bacterium
Lineage: Bacteria
Description: partial 16S ribosomal RNA
Rfam family: Bacterial small subunit ribosomal RNA
Source: RNAcentral
AUUGAACGCUGGCGGCAUGCCUUACACAUGCAAGUCGAACGGUAACAGGUCUUCGGAUGCUGACGAGUGGCGAACGGGUGAGUAAUACAUCGGAACGUGCCUAGUAGUGGGGGAUAACUACUCGAAAGAGUGGCUAAUACCGCAUGAGAUCUACGGAUGAAAGCAGGGGAUCGCAAGACCUUGUGCUACUAGAGCGGCCGAUGGCAGAUUAGGUAGUUGGUGGGAUAAAGGCUUACCAAGCCGACGAUCUGUAGCUGGUGUGAGAGGACGAUCAGCCACACUGGGACUGGGACACGGCCCAGACUCCUACGGGAGGCAGCAGUGGGUAAUUUUGGACAAUGGGCGAAAGCCUGAUCCAGCAAUGCCGCGUGCAGGAUGAAGGCCUUCGGGUUGUAAACUGCUUUUGUACGGAACGAAAAGCCCCGGGUUAAUACCCUGGGGUCAUGACGGUACCGUAAGAAUAAGCACCGGCUAACUACGUGCCAGCCGCCGCGGUAA